ACUUAGACUGGUGAAGGCCAGAGGUAAGAUGAGAUCAAUGAAACCAUAGAUAGGAACGUGUGUUCCUCCCUUUUUCACUUUGAUUACCUAUCAGUGUUGGUUUAUACAAAAUAAUGUUAGCCUGAAAGAUUUUCUAAAGGACUCCUACAAAGGUACCUCUGAUGGCUCAUAAAAAUAUCUGAAUCUUACUAGCCAUAGGGAAAAUAAUGUAUUUUCUGUCUUUAAAGUCACACUUUUGGAGUCCAGGAGGCUUCUUGCCAAUCUCAGUUAUACUGGUUUUGCUCGUAUUUAUUGGUUAUCACCCUAUGGACUGAGUGAUCAGAAAGGAAAUGCCUGCGGUGUCACUCCAGUGUAGUAAGUGCCCAUGCAACCUCUGACUCUAAGCACCUCACUGUGUGUCUGUGUGCGUUUGGUUUAGUUUCACAAUCUAUGGAAUGAAGCCAUUCAGAUUAGGAGCCCCUAGAAUUGUGUUGAGGCGAUCCAGACAAUUAAAUGGGAAAAUACUGUGUUAUUUAUUCUGAGUAUGAAAGAAACAAAACAUGAAAGACAGGGAAGACAAGGAACUGUGAUGGGAAGAGCACAGGACUGAUGUGCGGGAAACCUGGACACCAGUGCUCAAAUGCUACUUCUGUUACUGAAUGUCAGUGACUUUGACAAGUCACAUCGACUUUCUAAGGGGUUAAACUAGAUAGUCUCUGUAGACUCCUUUUUC
This 712-nucleotide long non-coding RNA is filed under the name Homo sapiens (human). Its description in RNAcentral is "HSALNT0198461". Lineage: Eukaryota; Metazoa; Chordata; Mammalia; Primates; Hominidae. The record is from RNAcentral.